UCGUACCGAAUCAUUCUCUCUUUGUUCGUAUGUUAGCAAUGUAGGAAGAAGGGGGCAAUCAAUAAUCUGCAACUCUUUCAAUCUGCAUUCGGUAGAAGACAUGAGUUCUCCAAGGCCGUCGAUACGAGUUAAUUUCCCAGCUGCAACUAUCACGAGGAGCUGCAAUGAAUUCAACCCUCCGAGACCCUGGAUCUCUUGCAGAUUAGGACAAUCCCAUAGUACUAAUUCAGUCAAGUUCCCAAGAUCAUUCAGAUUUGGAAACUGAUCCGAUUUUAGACACCGGAUAUGUAGCCUAGUUAGAGAUGAUGGUAGUAGCAUGGUACUGCCAUCACUUUCAGCCAUAAAAA
Molecule: long non-coding RNA, 347 nt
Filed under: Linum usitatissimum (flax)
Lineage: Eukaryota; Viridiplantae; Streptophyta; Magnoliopsida; Malpighiales; Linaceae
Description: long non-coding RNA (LUSI_LNC001196)
Source: RNAcentral